Molecule: ribosomal RNA, 586 nt
Filed under: uncultured Nitrosomonas sp.
Lineage: Bacteria; Pseudomonadati; Pseudomonadota; Betaproteobacteria; Nitrosomonadales; Nitrosomonadaceae
Description: bacterial SSU rRNA
Rfam family: Bacterial small subunit ribosomal RNA
Source: RNAcentral
CCUACGGGAGGCAGCAGUGGGGAAUUUUGGACAAUGGGCGCAAGCCUGAUCCAGCCAUGCCGCGUGAGUGAAGAAGGCCUUCGGGUUGUAAAGCUCUUUCAGUUGGGAAGAAACGAUUGCAACUAAUAAUUGUAAUUAAUGACGGUACCGACAGAAGAAGCACCGGCUAACUACGUGCCAGCAGCCGCGGUAAUACGUAGGGUGCGAGCGUUAAUCGGAAUUACUGGGCGUAAAGGGUGCGCAGGCGGUUUUGUAAGUCAGAUGUGAAAUCCCCGGGCUUAACCUGGGAAUGGCGUUUGAACUGCCAAGCUAGAGUGUAGCAGAGGGGAGUGAAUUUCCGCGUGUAGCAGUGAAAUGCGUAGAUAUGCGGAGGAACACCGAUGGCGAAGGCAGCUCCCUGGGCUAACACUGACGCUCAUGCACGAAAGCGUGGGGAGCAAACAGGAUUAGAUACCCUGGUAGUCCACGCCCUAAACGAUGUCAACUAGUUGUCGGGCCUAAUUGAGGGUUUGGUAACGUAGCUAACGCGUGAAGUUGACCGCCUGGGGAGUACGAUCGCAAGAUUAAAACUCAAAGGAAUUGACGG